RNAcentral lists this transfer RNA (70 nucleotides) under Marmota monax (woodchuck). It matches the Rfam family "tRNA". Rfam says of the family: Transfer RNA (tRNA) molecules are approximately 80 nucleotides in length. Their secondary structure includes four short double-helical elements and three loops (D, anti-codon, and T loops). Further hydrogen bonds mediate the characteristic L-shaped molecular structure. tRNAs have two regions of fundamental functional importance: the anti-codon, which is responsible for specific mRNA codon recognition, and the 3' end, to which the tRNAs corresponding amino acid is attached (by aminoacyl-tRNA synthetases). tRNAs cope with the degeneracy of the genetic code in two manners: having more than one tRNA (with a specific anti-codon) for a particular amino acid; and 'wobble' base-pairing, i.e. permitting non-standard base-pairing at the 3rd anti-codon position. The record is from Rfam by way of RNAcentral. Lineage: Eukaryota; Metazoa; Chordata; Mammalia; Rodentia; Sciuridae.
UGGGUUGUGGCUCAGUGGGAGAGCUUGCCUCGAACGUGCAAGGCUCUGGGUUUGAUCCCCAGCACCACAU